GUAAGAGGAUGGUUGGUUGCUGCUGUUUCUGUUUCACUGCUAUUCAGGAGGUUUUUCAGGCUCCUGAGAUUAAAAGAGUUGGUCUCUUGUGUCUUUCAUUGGAGAAGGAGUUCUAUUUAUCAGGGAGGACCUAUCCAGGAGAGAAGAAAGUGAUCUACCUUGGUGGUGACUUGUGCCAGAGCAAAACCUUCAAACCAGAAAAUCCCAACGAGGAUGCUGCUGCCACUGCACUGAGCACUGCCACAUGGCUGCAUGAGCAAUGUCCUUGCUCUAAUUAUAGUUUAGGGACCAAAAAGAGAUGUUUCCAUGUGUGUUCACACAGUCCUUGCUUGUCUAACACAGGGGCUCUUCAGGGAAGAUAGUUUCAGUGGCUGUUCUUUGCCAGCUCAGAAGUUCUUGAGUUAUUAAAUAGUAAAUAAUUUAAAUGAAUAAUGACACCAAUAGGAGAAAUCUAAAGACAAGAAAAGAAAAAAGCCAUGAAUUUGUGCCAUCUGUCCCUGGAAAUGGAGAAUGGUAGGGACAGAUACUAAGCCAUCUACAGAGAUCCUAAUUUACUCCAAGGAAAAUUUUAUAUUUUUGGGGGUCUUGGGCACGUGUGAAAAACAAGAUGAAAAUUAGUUUUGCUCCAGUGCACAGCAUUUUCUGCUUGGUUCAGAGACAGAUGCUUCAAAAAGAGAGCAGAAAACUAACCAAACCGACAUAAUUAUUUCUCAGUACCUUUUAUUUUUUUUCCUUUAAUAGUGCUCUUUUCAAAUGCUGGAAUUGUUGGGUCCUGCUCAGGUGCCAAUCGCUGCUGUCCAGGGGCCGUAGUGACAAAAUUUUAACAAACACUGUCACCUUCUGGGCACGCCGCAGCAGUGCAGCUUCCAACCAGCUAGCCUUUGUCUUCGGGUGAACUUAGCACUGAGGUACUUUGGUUUCUGUUUGCUUGUAAUUUCAUGCUUAUAAACCCUGUACGAGCAGGAUUGAAACAUUUUUUUAAAUUUUUUUUCACUUCUUGGUACAUUUAGCUACUUAAAAAUGCAAGCAAUAUGUGGUGUCCAGGGUGUUGAGCUAAUCCUACAGCCUGCUUUGAUCACGCUCCCUGAGCAAAAAGAUCUAUUGUUUCAG
Molecule: long non-coding RNA, 1110 nt
Filed under: Cyanistes caeruleus (blue tit)
Lineage: Eukaryota; Metazoa; Chordata; Aves; Passeriformes; Paridae
Description: lncRNA (ENSCCEG00000015523.1)
Source: RNAcentral